AGAAUGCUAAUACCGCAUAAGACCACACUCCCUACGGUGAGAGUGGUAAAAGGCGCCUCAAAGCCACCAGAGGAUGAGCCUGCGUCCCAUCAGCUUGUUGGUAAGGUAACGGCUUACCAAGGCGAAGAGGGUAGCUGGUCUGAGAGGAUGAUCAGCCACACUGGUACUGGAACACGGACCAGACUCCUACGGGAGGCAGCAGUGAGGAAUAUUGGGCAAUGGGCGAAAGUGACCCAGCCACGCCGCGUGUGUGAUGAAGGCCUUCGGGUCGUAAAGCACUGUGGGGAGAGACGAAACUGCGCAGGAGGAAAUGCCUGCGUACUGACGGUACCUCCUUAGCAAGCACCGGCUAACUCUGUGCCAGCAGCCGCGGUAAUACAGAGGGUGCAAACGUUGCUCGGAUUUACUGGGCGUAAAGCGCGUGUAGGCGGACUCGCAAGUCGGUUGUGAAAUCCCUGGGCUCAACCUAGGAACUGCAUCCGAAACUGCUUGUCUUGAGUAAUGGAGAGGGUGGCGGAAUUCCCGGUGUAGAGGUGAAAUUCGUAGAUAUCGGGAGGAACAUCAGUGGCGAAGCGGCCACCUGGACAUUUACUGACGCUGAGACGCGAAACUCGGGGAGCAAACAGGAUUAGAUACCCUGGUAGUCCACGCCGUAAACGAUGAGCAUUAGGUG
Molecule: ribosomal RNA, 673 nt
Filed under: uncultured bacterium
Lineage: Bacteria
Description: bacterial SSU rRNA
Rfam family: Bacterial small subunit ribosomal RNA
Source: RNAcentral